Molecule: long non-coding RNA, 223 nt
Filed under: Physcomitrium patens
Lineage: Eukaryota; Viridiplantae; Streptophyta; Bryopsida; Funariales; Funariaceae
Description: long non-coding RNA (PPAT_LNC002924)
Source: RNAcentral
UUGAUUAGGGCUUAGGAUUUGGUCUAAGAUUUGGUUAGGAUUAAGAUUUUUUUAAGUUUUGGUUUAGAAUUUGACUAGAAUUUGAUAAAGAUUUGAUUUAGGAUUUGUAUACAAUUUGAUAAAGGCUUAAGAUUUGAUCUAGGAUUUGAUUUAAAACUUGAUUAAGAUUUAAUUAGAAUUUAUUUAGGACUUGAUUAGGAUUUUAUUUAAGAUUUAAUUAAAG